This is a long non-coding RNA of Syngnathus acus (greater pipefish), 973 nucleotides long. RefSeq lists it as uncharacterized. Lineage: Eukaryota; Metazoa; Chordata; Actinopteri; Syngnathiformes; Syngnathidae. The record is from RefSeq and is a predicted model, not a curated record. The transcript is spliced from 2 exons.
AAAACAGUUGAGCGAGCUUUGAACGUGUUCUCGUCAAGGAUGUUUUUUCGGAAGGCAGCGUGACAUAGCAUCGCGUGGGAACAUUUCUGCACAGGAGCCACUCCCACGUCUGGAGGUGAUUCGUGCAGACGCCCACGCUUACUACGACACCGCGUGACCAUCAACACUGGAAGGAUGCGAUUUACACGGUGCAAGGAUAAAAACACUAUCACUCCAUCUGUGUAAACUAUAAAUCAAGCUACUAAAAACAUUAAUAUUUUGCAAACGACAUAAAUAAAGGUAAUACUGUUUUGUGCGCCGAUAAAUUCAUGCAGCUCAACCCUGCCCCAUAGUGGUCAUCCGUGAUAUUACAACAAUAGAUGGAUAGGAUAAAUUGCUCAUUCGUUUCUCAAUCUCAACCGGUUUUACGUCUGUGUUUUAUGACAUUUGUCAUGUUUAAAUUCCAAUGUGUGUCUGAACAAGGCAUUGAAUGAUUUGGAAUGUAAAAUGUUAUUGUUGUAAACAUUGGGCAGGGGAACGUUCAAUAGUCACUAUAAUCAAUAGUCGCUCUCAUCAUGAUGACGAGAAAUCUCGUUUUGGCUCAGAUGUGGUUUUAGUCCUCAUAAAUCAAUGAAGCUAUAAUGAAACCAUUUUAACACACAUGCACACAAAAGGUACACAUAGAUAUUUUAUUUAAGCGUGAAGUGGGGGGAAAAAUGUACAAAUAGUGGACCAGACCAGCACAGUGUACUGACAACAGUCUGGUUCAGUUAUCAGGUGUUGCUUUGGGGCUGGAGUCGAUGAGAUCCUUAUUGAGGGUCUCCAUCUGGAACCAGGGGCCAUCACCUCUCGCUCUCAUGUGUUUGCGCACCUCAAGCUGUGCCAGCCUAUUUACCACAGACAGAAUAUUCACUCAAUGAACAGUCAUUGACAAUACAGAGAAAAUUCUUGGGAUAAAAAAAAAAAAGACAAAUAGUUCACAAAUAGCUACUUU